AAUGGGAUUCCUUAAGUAAUUGCGAAUGAACAAGGACAUGCUUAGCUUGACAAUUGGAGCCUCUGGCUUCGACUUGUAUUUUUGAAAUGUAUUACCAACAGAGGUGCAGGUGUCAGCCUAUUGAAAGAAAGCGUCAAUGAGGGUGAGAAUCCUGUUUGUCAUGUGCAAUCCUCUGUGCACGGUGUAUGUUUGCUGAGUCACACUCCUUGGCAUUGGAAUGCAAAGUGGGUGGUAAGUUUCAUGUAAAGGUAAAUAUAGGAUUGAGACUGAUAGCACACAAGUACCAUGAGGGAAAUAUGAAAAGGACUUUGAAAAGAGAAUUAAAUGAGUUUGUAUUUGCUGAACAGAAAAUAAACAGAUUUGAUGUUGCUUGGUGAGAUUGUGGUGCUUGCUUGACAAUAGGUUUUGAUUGUGGGUGUGAUGAUUCUUGCUUUGCUUGCCAGUUUCUAUUUGUACAUUUGAUUACCCUUGCACAUGAAUGGUAAUUUUCCUGCGGGGUUUGGAUUGCAUGUGUUUGUGAUGAUUUGUGUUUUGAUACAUGUGUCUGGUGCUUUUGUAAUUGCUCAUUUCUUGAAGUGGGCCUACCCUACUAGAGCUUACAAGCCCUGGCACACAAUUGCUGGCAAAAUGCUUCUGCUUGACCCG
Molecule: ribosomal RNA, 645 nt
Filed under: Alexandrium affine
Lineage: Eukaryota; Dinophyceae; Gonyaulacales; Pyrocystaceae
Description: LSU rRNA
Rfam family: Eukaryotic large subunit ribosomal RNA
Source: RNAcentral